AUUCCUUUUAAUUAUAUUUUGUGUAUGAGCAGAACUGAGAUUUACCUACGAUAUCUAUGUAUCACUACUGCACUGUCCCCUGGUGUAUGUAUCUUGUCAUCGGCUAAUUCACAAGUCUGCAAGUUCCCGAAGUAGAUAGCAGAAGGUUGACUGGAUAUUUUGAUGUACACCAAUGUAAAAUCAUAUUGCAUGUUAUUGGUAUGCUGUUUGCACAGAUCUGUUUCAAAUCAAGUAAACUGUCUGAAUGCCAUGAUGAUGAUCAAUUUCAUCAGCUCUAUUGGAAGAGCAAAUUUGUCAUGAAGACAAACAACUGUUAUGGAUAGGAUUAUAGUAAAAAUGUUGUCAAGUCAAGGUUGCAGCAGUGCUUUAUUUUACGACUUCGUGUCCAACAAAUAUGUGGAACCCGGUUAACUUAAGCUUAACAAACAAAUAAUUCUUACAUGCUAAAACAUUUGAAGCAAACGUAGUUAUGUCGAUUUUUCGUCACUUGGCGAGUCUUUCGCAGAAGCAAAAAUAAAUAAAACUUUCAAAUAGCAACGAAA
Styela clava is the source of this 542-nucleotide non-coding RNA. Lineage: Eukaryota; Metazoa; Chordata; Ascidiacea; Stolidobranchia; Styelidae. The record is from RefSeq and is a predicted model, not a curated record.